GACGAACGCUGGCGGCGUGCUUAACACAUGCAAGUCGAACGGAAAGGCCCUGCUUUUGUGGGGUGCUCGAGUGGCGAACGGGUGAGUAACACGUGAGUAACCUGCCCUUGACUUUGGGAUAACUUCAGGAAACUGGGGCUAUUACCGGAUAGGAGCUCUUGCUGCAUGUUGGGGGUUGGAAAGUUUCGGCGGUUGGGGUUGGACUCGCGGCUUAUCCGCUGGUUGGUGGGGUAGUGGCUUACCAGGGCUGUGACGGGUAGCCGGCCUGGGAGGGGGACCGGCCACAUUGGGUCUGAGAUACGGCCCAGACUCCUACGGGAGGCAGCAGUGGGGAAUAUUGCACAAUGGGCGGAAGCCUGAUGCAGCAACGCCGCGUGCGGGAUGACGGCCUUCGGGUUGUAAACCGCUUUCGCCUGUGACGAAGCGUGAGUGACGGUAAUGGGUAAAGAAGCACCGGCUAACUACGUG
Molecule: ribosomal RNA, 468 nt
Filed under: uncultured bacterium
Lineage: Bacteria
Description: partial 16S ribosomal RNA
Rfam family: Bacterial small subunit ribosomal RNA
Source: RNAcentral